AUUGGUAAUCAACUCAGAAACUGCCUCUUCUUUUCCUUUAAGAAUCCACUUGUAACUGCAGCUAAUGGGAGUGUAUACUCAGGGCUUCUUGAUUCUAUGCUCUGGGGUUGCAGUCCUCGAUCUUGGCCCAAGUAAACGCUCUACUUAGAUUAAUUCUUUUUAGAUUGACAUGAGCAAAUGUUUCCUGAGUGUCUGCUUUGCUGCAGGUGCUGAGCUGUGGAUGGGGUAUGACUGUGAAGCCGGGCCCGGUGCCUGGCCUCAUGAAGAUUAUAUUUUGGUGAAGGACACAAGACAUAAAGCCAAAUGAUCAGAAGAAUAAGGAAGAUGGCUGUAUACAUGGUCCAUGUUAUACAUGAGAUAAGUAGGACAUGUACUAAUGAAUACAGGACAUGGGGCUGGGUUGAUUUACAUGAAGCUUUGAGGGGAAUUUUCCUAGAAGAGAUUAUACAUAAGCGGAUAAGAUAGAAAAUACAUACUACAUGAUAAGAUAGAAAGAUUUCCAGGAAGAGGAAACUGAGUGCAAAGGCCCUAGAGAGAUGGGGGUUGAACCUGGCGUAGCCUCAGAAGGUGUGGCGCCCUGGUCUGUAAUGAAGAGUGAGAGGAGGGGAGUUUGAUAUGCAGAAGUCAAAUCAUAAAGGUAUUUAGAUUUAGGAGGUUGGUUUUACUUUCAGAGCAACGGAAAGCCAUUGGAGGGUUGAAGAAGGGCAAUAAUGGCAUCAGCUUUGCAUUUUAAGGUGAUCGGGCUGGCUGCUCUGUGGAGAAUGGAUUGGUAUGGGCACCAGGAGAAGCAGGGAGUGGAUUUGUCCCAGGAGGACGGCUCUCAUACAGAGCAUUCUUUAAGUGGCUUUCAGGAUGUGCGCCUGCAGGGAGUACACAGUGUAACUGGAGAAGCGCCGGCUGGGUUCCACUACCAGUGAGCGGCAAGAACUUUGGCAUGUCUUCUAAGGUUCCUGGUUCUCAAGCCUCACCUGGAUGAAAUAAUCACAGCUCCCUUAUAGGAUAGCUGUGAUGAUUUAAUCAGAUGAUGUGUGUGACUUGUCCAGCACAUAGUGAUCACUCAUUGUGUUAGAGGUUAGCUCUCUUUAACUGUUAUGAUGUCUCUGGGGCAUCUGUGAGAAGGGAGCUCCUGGGAGGGUGAGGACAAGGUGAUUUAUAGGAAGGAGCAACUUCGAGUCAUGUUCUCCCAUUAAUCUCAUCAACUGGUAGCUCCAAAACAUAGCUGUCAACAGGCAUCAAUUAUACCCCAUGUAAUUGCACACAUGAUUGUAUUUAAUUCUCACAAUAGUCUUGCAAUGCAGACAUUACUGUAUUAUAUAAUUAUCCCCUUUUUUGAUAUCAGAAAAUUGUAGUCCACAGAGGUUAGGUAAUUUGCUCAAGGUCACCCAGUUAGUGGCAGAGCCAAAAUUCAGUCCAGAUCUGUUGGAAUCCAAACCCCAUGCUCUCUCCACCAUAACGGCUCAUCCAACAGUUCGACAGCUGCUUUCCAAACACAUCUCGGGUUCUUGGGAUUCUACAACACCUGUGUCUCUCAACACAGGGUAUCCUGUCUAUGGAAGUCCCCAGGUGACAUGAGGAAGAAGGAAAUCUGCCCUCUCCAAGCCUGAUAAAAAAGGACAAAAGAGACCGGUUCCAUCUGGUGUUCUAUAAAGCACAGCUUUGCCAGGUUCCAGAACACCAGGCAAUCAUAUCCUCUGUGGUAUUGGUUUUGCAGCCCCAGAAAUACUUCUCUUGGAACGAUGAACACGGAAUUAAUUUCUCAUUCCCUGAAAGCCUGAAGCAGUUCUUUAGAGGUCUUAUAAAUAUGCCUGUGAACAGUACCAGAGUAUGGAGAGCACAGUAAGAUGUGUGACUCCAAUCCUGCCUAUGCACAGGGGUGUGCAGCUGUCAACCUUCUCAUAAUGGCAGCAUGUUCUAAGUGGAAUCAUAAAGGUGUGAAGGUUUUCAAAGAAUUUAAUCCAAAUAAUAUCCAUAGAAGUGUAUGCUUUAUUUUCUUUGGAUGACUCUAGACCAAACUUCUCAAAGAUGAAAUGGAGUUAUUGAGGGUGGUUCCUUCUCUUAGUAAAAAUGGGUGACCCACUCAUGUUCAAAGAGUCACGGCUUCUUUGAUGAAUCAUCUAGGCCGGUACAGGCUUUAAGAAAAUAUGCAGACGGCUGGACACGGUGGGUCAUGCCUGUAAUCCUCGCAAUUUGGGAGGCCGAGGCAGGUGGAUUACUUGAGGUCAGGAGUUUGAGACCAGCCUGGCCAACAUGGUGAAACCCCUUCUCUACUAAAAAUACAAAAGUGAGCUGGGACGGUGGUGUGUGCCUGUAAUCCCAGCUACUCGGGAGGCAGAGACAGGAGAAUCAUUUGAACCUGGGAGGCUGAGGUUGCAGUGAGCCAAGAUUGCACCACUGCACUCUAACCUGGGCAACACAGUGAAAGUUUGUCUCAAAAGAAAGAAAAGAAAGAAAGAAAGAAAAAAAGGAAGGAAGGAAGGAAAGAAAGAAGAAAGAAAGAAAGAGAGAAAAGAAAAUAGGCAGAAAACUAUGACUUUGAAUCCUGCUUUUAUAUGUAUACCUUGGGAAUAGCAUCCUGUUAAGAAAAAAACAAACAUAAUAAUAAUAACCAUCUGAGGAUUUAACUUCAACUCACAUCAGUGUCUCCAGUGGACGAUGUCAGGGCUUGAUACUUUCCACUUCCCCUGAGCUAAUGGAAACCUCUGUUUACUCAGCCCCGUCUCACCUGGCAUUGAAUAUGGACCUAACACGCCUGGAAAUGGGUUCUAGAAGGGCAGGAAGAGAAUCAGUGCCCAAAUCUUCUUUCACUCAUGUUUGCCUAGACUGUGCAGCUACAUAUCAGUCCUAUUUAGGGUGACAGGUUAAAACCCCUUGGGAAAACGGUGUGACCUGGUAUAUCGUUGAAGAGCUAGACAGUUGGAGUCCAUGCAUGACUCCAGUAGAAGGAAUUUGGUAAGAGAAUUGGUUACAAAGCCUCCAGAGAAGUGAAAGAGAUGAUGAGACUACACAGAGAUUAGCAAUGACAGGACAUCUCCAUCAGGCCUAAGACUGAAGAACCAAAGAAAGAAGUGAUCUUUCUGGUGGCAAGAGCUGCAGCUACCUGGAAGGAGCUGGAGUCACUGCACUGGGCCUAUUGGGUGGAAACUGGAAUCACAAAGGAGAUGUAGCUGUUUCGGAGAUGACGCCCCUUUCCUUGAAGGAGAUAAUGUAUGGAAUUAGGAGCAGCAUCCCAAAGACAGGCUGCCCCUGCUGAAGGCAUGGGAUGUGGCUCAGGGCUCUGAGGUGGCAUUUGAGGCCCUUGCUCUAAGCCACAUCAUCAGCCAAGUUUUUAUGAAUCAUAAAAUUGCUGGAUCCCGUUUCUAAACAUAGUCCCUGAUUCUGCUUCACUGAUCUUCCUCGGAGGUCAACUGCAUAGCAGACAAAGAAGCGUUUCCUUUUAAUAGCUGGGAAUUUACUGGCCAUAAAUUUCACCCAGUACCCUAGGACUAUGUGUUAUGGUCAGGUAAAGUAAAUCAGAUGACUAGCCCGUUUUCUCUCUUCAUCUUGAACAUAAUUUCCUCUUUUUCCUGAGAUGAGAUAAUCCCUGAUUAUAGCAAUUUUUUGUGUGUGAGACAGAGGUCUUGCUCUGUCACCACCCAAGUUGGAGUGCAGUGCUGUGAUCACAGCUCACCACCGCCUGGAUCUCCAGGACUCAAGCCAACCUCCCACCUCAGCCUCCCCAGUAGCUGGGACCACAAGUGCAUACCACCAGACUCAGCUAAUUUUUUUUUUUUUUUGAGAUGGAGUCUCACUCUGUUGCCCAGGCUGGAGUGCAGUGGCGUGAUCUCGGCUCACUGCAACCUCCGUCUCCAGAGUUCAAGCAAUUGACCUGCCUCAGCCUCCCAGACAAGGUCUUUCUAUGUUGCCCAGGCUGGUCUUGAACUCCCGGGCUCAAGUGGUCCUCUUGCCUUGGCCUCCCAAAAUGCUGGAAUUACAGGUGUGUCACCACGCCCCGCCUGCAAUUCUUUAACAAGAGGAGAUCCCUUCCAAUUUGUCUGGAGUACCUCCACCGCUAUUCUUCCUCACUUCUGUGCCUCCUUUCUUUUCCUUAAGAAGCAUUAGCAGACAGUAAAAAUGACAUGACUUCCCCCUUCCUACCACCACUGACAUAACACCUGCCCUUCACUAACACCAAUGAGAGUGUGGGGUAUUGAUGGUGAUAGCUCAGAUGCAACCCAGGAGCCCUUUCAGAAUUAGAGCCAAUGCUGGCAAGGAGCUUCUCUUGUCUCCUGUCCAGGCCUCACAAUUUUAAAUUGUUUCCAGAAGUUAGGACAGUGAUAUCUCCUGGCCAAUGCAGAGAAGCAGUGGGAAAGGAGACAGACAGUCCUCCUGAUUCAAGGAAGCUAAUGCUUCUAUUGCCUCUCCUCGAAUAAAAUUUUGAGUUAGAGGUUAUUAUGCUUACUUUGCAGACAUGUUAAGCAAUUUGGCCAAAGCUUCAGAAUGAAUUAGGAGACAAAGUUGGAGUUAGAAUCAAGGUCUGAUUUACUCUAAAAUCCACAUUACUUUCACUAUAGAGUGUUGCUCCCUAUUUUCUAUGUGAAUAGCUUUAUAAAAUGCAAAACAUGUUCAAAAGAAAAUCCUUCCA
This 4621-nucleotide long non-coding RNA is filed under the name Homo sapiens (human). RNAcentral's name for it is "HSALNT0183650". Lineage: Eukaryota; Metazoa; Chordata; Mammalia; Primates; Hominidae. The record is from RNAcentral.